GACUAUCAUUCCAAGGGGAAACAGGGAUUGCCUCAGUAACGGCGAGUGAAGCGGCAACAGCUCAAAUUUGAAAUCUGGCCUCUCGGGGUCCGAGUUGUAAUUUGUAGAGGAUGUUUCGGGUACCGCCCCGGUUUAAAUUUCUUGGAACAGAAUGUCAAAGAGGGUGAGAAUCCCGUCUUGGACCGGCGGUAGGGCCUAUGUAAAACUCCUUCGACGAGUCGAGUUGUUUGGGAAUGCAGCUCAAAAUGGGUGGUAAAUUUCAUCUAAAGCUAAAUAUUGGCCAGAGACCGAUAGCGCACAAGUAGAGUGAUCGAAAGAUGAAAAGCACUUUGAAAAGAGAGUUAAACAGUAUGUGAAAUUGUUGAAAGGGAAGCGCUUGCAACCAGACUUGUACGCGGUGGUUCCUCUCGCCUUUUGGCGCGGGUACUCCGUCACGUUCAGGCCAACAUCGGUUUUGGGGGCCAGUCAAAGGCCUUGGGAAUGUACCUACCCACGGGUAGACUUAUAGACCAGGGUGUCAUGUGGCCUCCCGGGACCGAGGAACGCGCUUCGGCUCGGAUGUUGGCGUAAUGGUUGUCAGCGACCCGUCUUGAAACACGGACCAAGGAGUCUAACAUCUAUGCGAGUGUUUGGGUGUCAAACCCGGAACGCGGAAUGAAAGUGAACGGAGGUAGGAAGCUUCGGCUGCACUAUCGACCGAUCCUGAAGUUUACGGAUGGAUUUGAGUAAGAGCGUACAUGCUGGGACCCGAAAGAUGGUGAACUAUGCCUGAAUAGGGUGAAGCCAGAGGAAACUCUGGUGGAGGCUCGCAGCGGUUCUGACGUGCAAAUCGAUCGUCAAAUUUGGGUAUAGGGGCGAAAGACUAAUCGAACCA
RNAcentral lists this ribosomal RNA (874 nucleotides) under Cladophialophora sp. ICS-2021a. RNAcentral's name for it is "partial large subunit ribosomal RNA". It matches the Rfam family "Eukaryotic large subunit ribosomal RNA", at positions 38 to 942 of the family's 3401-position model. Lineage: Eukaryota; Fungi; Ascomycota; Eurotiomycetes; Chaetothyriales; Herpotrichiellaceae. The record is from RNAcentral.